RNAcentral lists this ribosomal RNA (971 nucleotides) under uncultured archaeon. RNAcentral describes it as "partial 16S ribosomal RNA". It matches the Rfam family "Archaeal small subunit ribosomal RNA", at positions 337 to 1327 of the family's 1478-position model. The record is from RNAcentral.
AGUUGAGGACUUUUAAAUGCGCGCACGCGUGAUAAAAUAAGCCAGAGUGUUUCUCUUAGAGAAACUUUUGUCUGCUGUAAAAAGGCAGACGAAUAAGGACUGGGCAAGACCGGUGCCAGCCGCCGCGGUAAUACCGGCGGUCCAAGUCGCAUCCACAUUUAUUGGGUCUAAAACAUUCGUAGCUUGUUCUGUAAGUCUCUUGUGAAAUCUCAUAUCUCAAGUAUGAGGCGCGCAAGAGGUACUGCAUUACUAGAGACCGGAAGACGUAAGGAGUACGAUUAAGGUAGCGGUAAAAUGUGUUAAUCUUAAUCGGACUAACAAUGGCGAAGGCACCUUACGAGUACGGAUCUGACAGUGAGGGAUGAAGGCUAGGGGCGCAAAAGGGAUUAGAUACCCCUGUAGUCCUAGCAGUAAACACUGUUCACUAAACAUCAGUACCUCCUAGAGAGGUAUUGGUGCUGUAGGGAAGCCGAAGAGUGAACUACCUGGGAAGUAUAGUCGCAAGGCCGAAACUUAAAGGAAUUGGCGGGGAGGCACUACAACGGGUGACGCGUGCGGUUUAAUUAGAGUUUACACCGUGAAUCUUACCAGGAGCGACAGCAGAAUGAAGGUCAGUCUAAAGGGCUUACCUGACACGCUGAGAGGAGUUGCAUGGCCGACAUAAGCCUGUGUCGUGAGAUGACUUGUUAAAUCAAGUAACAGGCGAGACCCCUGUGUUUAAUUUCUACGCAAAGAGCACAUUAAACAGACUGCCUUGGUAACAAGGAGGAAGGUGGGGGCGAUGUUAGGUGGGUACAGCCCGAAUCCCCUGGGCGACACGCGCGCGGCAAUGUCACAUUCAAUGAGAUGCGACUCUGAGAAGAGAAGCUAAUCUCCUAAAGUGUGGCCUAGUUCAGAUUGAGGUUUGUAACCCAACCUCAUGACGAUGGAAUCCGUAGUAAUCGUUUGUUAUCAGCGAACGGUGAAUACGU